UGGGGAAUAUUGGACAAUGGGCGAAAGCCUGAUCCAGCCAUGCCGCGUGUGUGAAGAAGGUCUUCGGAUUGUAAAGCACUUUAAGUUGGGAGGAAGGGCAGUAAAUUAAUACUUUGCUGUUUUGACGUUACCGACAGAAUAAGCACCGGCUAACUCUGUGCCAGCAGCCGCGGUAAUACAGAGGGUGCAAGCGUUAAUCGGAAUUACUGGGCGUAAAGCGCGCGUAGGUGGUUCGUUAAGUUGGAUGUGAAAUCCCCGGGCUCAACCUGGGAACUGCAUUCAAAACUGACGAGCUAGAGUAUGGUAGAGGGUGGUGGAAUUUCCUGUGUAGCGGUGAAAUGCGUAGAUAUAGGAAGGAACACCAGUGGCGAAGGCGACCACCUGGACUGAUACUGACACUGAGGUGCGAAAGCGUGGGGAG
RNAcentral lists this ribosomal RNA (421 nucleotides) under uncultured bacterium. RNAcentral describes it as "bacterial SSU rRNA". It matches the Rfam family "Bacterial small subunit ribosomal RNA", at positions 355 to 768 of the family's 1533-position model. The record is from RNAcentral.